GCUUAGAGGUAAACGAGUGGAGCUGAAGGUAGAGUUUAGAAAUCAAUAUGGUUAGUUUCUACUAAUGUGGCUAAAAAUCCCUUAAAAGAUUUUGGUUAUGUUUUAUAGUUAUUGGCUGUAUGCACUUUUUAUUCUCUAAUAUGAGACCGGUAAUUUGUUUUUCUGUCGUAGCGUUGAAGUUGAUCGUUAUUUCGGUAUCGGUUUUAUAGCUUGCUGCAUAGUUAAAUAUUUUACCGAUAAAUCCAUAUGUAGCGUGACUUUGGGUAGAUGGCUUUUUGUUAGUUAUUGACUCUUUUGAGACUUUAAUUGGCAAAUUGUUGUUUGCACUUUGGUGCCUAUAUUUAUCGGUCUCAUCGAAUAUGUAAGCGAUCCGCUUGUCCCGUCUUGAAACACGGACCAAGGAGUUUUAUUUGUUUGCGAGUCAAAGGGCCUUACGAAACCCCAGGGCGAAAUGAAAGUAAAGGUUUACUUCAGUAAACUUUAAUGUGAUCUUAUAGCAACCCUAUGAGCGCAACAUUGACCUGUCCGUAAGUGUUCGCACUUGGGCAGAGUCCGAGCAAACAGGUAGAGACCCGAAAGAUGGUGAACUUUGAAUGGGCAUGUUGAAGUCAGAUGAAAAUCUGAUGGAGGACAGAAGCGGUUCUGACGUGCAAAUCGAUCGUCAGACCUGUUCAAAGGGGCGAAAGACUAAUCGAACCAUCUAGUAGCUGGUUCCCUCCGAAGUUUCCCUCAGGAUAGCAGGUAUUUGAAACGCAGUUGUAUCUGGUAAAGCGAAUGAUUAGAAGUAUUUGGAACAUAAUGUUCUAAACUUAUUCUCAAACUUUAAAUGGGUACGAGGUAUGUCUCUCUUUAAUGGAGUUGUACAUUUUAAUGCAAAUGCUUAGUGGGCCAUUUUUGGUAAGCAGAACUGGCGAUGUGGGAUGAACCAAACAUUCAGUUAAGGUGCCUAAUAUUACGCUCAUGAGAUACCACAAAAGGUGUUGGUUGAUAAAGACAGCAGGACGGUGGACAUGGAAGUUGUCAUCCGCUAAGGAGUGUGUAACAACUCACCUGCCGAAUCAACCAGCCCUGAAAAUGGAUGGCGCUGUAGCGUAAAACCUAUACUGGAUCGAUAUCGUAAGCUUUAUGCGAGAAAGUGAUAUCGUGUAGGAGGGUGCCGUGGUUGCGUUGAAGCGACUUGCGUGAGUAAGCGUGGAG
Molecule: ribosomal RNA, 1197 nt
Filed under: Procerodes littoralis
Lineage: Eukaryota; Metazoa; Platyhelminthes; Tricladida; Procerodidae
Description: eukaryotic LSU rRNA
Rfam family: Eukaryotic large subunit ribosomal RNA
Source: RNAcentral